Pyrus x bretschneideri (Chinese white pear) is the source of this 3609-nucleotide long non-coding RNA. RefSeq lists it as uncharacterized. The record is from RefSeq and is a predicted model, not a curated record. The transcript is spliced from 8 exons. NCBI's taxonomy places the organism in Eukaryota, Viridiplantae, Streptophyta, Magnoliopsida, Rosales, Rosaceae.
GGACUGGAGGAGUUUAGCGGUGUCGGAGGGCGGCGGGAGGUUGUCAGCGACCUGGCCGUAGUUGACUCCGAUGAAGGACUGUGAGUCUGCAAUCAAAGCAAAUCGUUUCAGUGGGGUUUUUCCCUACUUACGAGAUGAGAAGUAAUUACGUACCUGCAGAAAGGAAAGCGGUGAAUAAGAGGAAGACAAGGAGGAUGGGGAAGUGCGAAAGCGACGACGCCAUGGACGAUGACGAUGAAGUGUGUCGACAGUCAGAAACUGUGUGCUGUUUUUGUGCAGAGUGCGGAAGACGACGGACUUCAGACCCCAAAAAAACAAGUUGAGGGUAACGGUAAGAAAGUAAGCAAGGUAACACUGAACUCAAGUGCUCACGUGCGAUGGGACCCCACCUGUCUCUCAGUCUUCUCGUUGACGUAUGCCAAAUAUUUGUUAAAGCGUGUUAAUUUUUCCUAACAAAUGCUUUUACGCACGAGUAGUGUUAAGGAAACACUUUUAAAGUUAAAUUUUCUGACAUUUUAUAAUUAACGUUAAUUUUUAUUUUAAUAUUAUAAAAUAUUGUGUCAAAAAAAUAACGUAGCGAAUAAUCUAUGAAUAGUCCUAUUUUUUAAAAAACUUUCUUAGCAUUUCUCUUUCCGCAAUUCAUAACUUUCUACCAUUCCCUAUUGGUCUUUUCUAUUUAAUUUUAAACUUGUCUUUCUCAGUUUAUUUCUUCAAUUUAAUGGCUAAAAAAGGUGAAUGACUAUUAACUCCAAGAAGAAAUCGAGCUAUGAUAGCUGAUAUAUAAAUAAAGAUAAUGCUGGGAACAUUAAAAUUUUAAAUUAAAUUUGUAAGUUAAAUUAUAUGUUAGUAAUAAGAACACGUUAAUUGAUAUUUAAUUAAUAAUCCAACGAUUGACAACCAUAAUAUUUAAUUUGCAAAUUUAGUUUAAAAUAUUUGAUCUCCCUAAAUGUUUAACCGAAUUCUUGUAUUUAGAUUCUAUGUUAAAACCUUAAAUUCUCAUUGAAAUAAAAACAUGGGAGUUUGUUAUUAUCGUUCCCAAAGAAUCAUUGUGCACUCCUCCUUUGGGUUGAGUUUGUGGUUACUUAAUCUUUUUUAAAAAGGUGGAGUCUUAAUUAUGUUGGGUAAAUGAUAAAGAAAAAAAAGUGAUUUUUUUUUCAAAAUUUAUAUAUACUAAAACCCAAACUCGGGUGGCACUGUUCUUAAGCAGUGUGCUUCCCUUUUUGCCCCUGCUUGAUUUGUUUAAUUGCAUUUGUGUCAUGUUUCACACGUGUUGGUCACCGUGCUCCCUUCUUUUUGUUUUUACUCUUCCGGACUCUUCUGGUGUAUUUUAACCCUGGUGUCCAAUAGAAGUCUCUUGACUUCUUCCUCAGAAAUCGCAGAAAUCCAAAAAGGAAAAAACUGUGCUCUUCAACCGAUUAGCGAUUUCGAUUCCGCUUCAUGAGAUCUGUUCGAUCUUUGCUUCCUCAUAUGUUCAUUCUCUUCGACGCGCCAUCGUGCUCCCAAUUUAGCCUUUGACAGGAAACAUUGGUCUUCGAAUUUUAAGGUUUUAUUGUACAAGCUUGCAAGCCCUUUCUGGGUGAGGUAACGUUGCCGUUCGAAUUUUAUGGUUUUUGUAUAGAAGUUUGCAGGCCCCUUCCGAUUAAGGAAGCAGUGGCCAUCGUUUUUGCCGCUUUUGUAUGUACGGUUCCAGAUGCUUGAGAUGAUGAAGAAUAAAAGAAAUUAAAUGCCGCUUUGGAUGAUAAGUUGAUGUCAAUGACAAGUACUAUUGAUGAUACCCACCGUUUCUCGUUUGUUCUAAUGCUGUUGUGAAAAAAUUCUAGGAAAAACAAAAGGAGGUUGAGCCCAUCUACAUAGGGAGUUGAAAGAAAAAUUAAACUCAACAAUUAGAGAAUGAGAAUGCAUCUGAUGAAAAAUAGGAAAUGAACACAUAUAAGGUAAUGUCACAAGGUGGACUUAAAAAGGAUCAAGUAUGCAGGGGAAUGGUAGGAUCAACAUAUCAAAGGUAGAGAUUGACUCUCUCUCAUGUUAAACUUAUACUGUGAUGUUUAUUAUUAUUAAAUUUUGGAAAAAUAAUUGCUUAUCAUAACCUUAUCACAAUAGUAAAUAACAGGGAGAGAGACGAAAAAAAGAGAGGAAUCUAUUUGAUUGUAUGUUUACUUUGGAGAUUUUGGAUAACAGUCAUGAAUUAUGGUCUUAGUGCAUCUCUAUUUUUUUUCUUCACGUUUUUGCUUACUGUUUAUAGCUAAAUGAUUUUUAUUUGGGUCUUCCAAAUUUUUAACUAUUACUAUGAAUCUCUGAUGAAGUUUUAUUAAUUUUUAAUUCAUUGAUUUCAAGUAUGGCCGUUGACUAUGUGAAUUUUAAGUUUUGCACAGUUAAAGAGACUAGAUGAUAAUGUUUCAUUUCUCUCUUUCUCCCUUCUUAUUUUCUCAGCCACGAGUCUUAAUAAGAUACGACUGACUAAGAAUUUGUUAAUCAUUUUAACACGUAUGAGAUAAGAUAUUUACUUUUUAUGAUGCAUUUCUAAUUUUUGCAUAUUACUUGAUUUACUAUUGUUAUAUGGUUGGCAGAAUUUUAUGUUAAGUGUGUCACUAUAUUGUUGUAAUAGUUAAAUUGGAUGUAAUAUGAAGUGUUGGCAUAAAACUAGGCACAACUAAUUAUCUUUCACUUCUUGAGAUACAACCAUUGUUUGAUUUAGCUAUAACUCAUAAAUCUUUAAUUAUAAUUGGUUUUUUUAGUUUACUUGGAUCAGAACUGAUAACCGUAUAAAAAGGCAGUAAAAAUUAAAGUCUGCCUGUUCUGAUGACAACUGAUAAAUAUACAGGUCUGCACGUAUACUGGUUGAUGAAAAGGUGAGCAAUCAUUACUUAAUGAUCUUAAGUAAUAAAUACUUAGUAUUGCUCAUUGAAAAUUUGUUAAUUGUUUCAAUGCAUAUGAUCUAACGUUGCUGCUUUCUGUAAUAAACUCUAUCUAGGAUCUUUAUUUUUUGGGUCAAAACACUAUUUGGGAUCUUUUUGUCAUCUUUAGACAUUGCUUGAUUUUGUAUUGUCAAAUGAUAUAUAUUUUCAUAAUCUUUGUGUCUGUAUAUUAUAUGGAUUUAUUUUUUAUAAUAUUCAGUGUUCUAUUCUUUGUAUUAGAUCUUUUUAUACUUAAAAACAACUUUUCUAUAGUGUUAAUUAAAAUGGUUAAUUGAUAGUUAGUGUUUGCCUAUGCAUAUUAUUGCGUAGUAUUUACUAUGCACAUGCAUAUUCAUGUUAUACUAUAUGUAAUGUUCACUGUUAUUCACUUAUUCACAUGAUAUUUAACAAUAUUUUUUUCUUGCAUUUUUUCCCAUGCUGAAUUGUCAAGCGACAAUCAAUAUAAACAUAUGAAUUUUGUUUCUUCAUUGUUAAUCUACUGAUGCUAGGGAUAAUUUAAGUUUCUACAUUCUUAACAUUUUUCAUAUUUGACUUACAGGAUUAGUGUCAAUGUACACCUUUCCGCAACUGUUUGUUUUGUCUUUUUCCCUCACUCUGUAUAAUUUUAGUCAAAUUGAACUACUUUUUAAAACUUGAGAUUUAACUGAAGUGCUAAGAACUUAGUUAAAUGAAAGUUUACUUUGGUUUGAUGACA